GGCUUCGUAGCUCAGCUGGUAGUGCACUUGCCGUGAUGAGACAUGAUAUUUUUGUCGCUGGUUCGAAUCCAGCCGAAGCCC
This is a non-coding RNA of Paragonimus heterotremus, 81 nucleotides long. The record is from the annotation of a GenBank genome assembly. Lineage: Eukaryota; Metazoa; Platyhelminthes; Trematoda; Plagiorchiida; Troglotrematidae.